RNAcentral lists this ribosomal RNA (654 nucleotides) under Triticum aestivum (bread wheat). RNAcentral describes it as "partial small subunit ribosomal RNA". The record is from RNAcentral. Lineage: Eukaryota; Viridiplantae; Streptophyta; Magnoliopsida; Poales; Poaceae.
AUGGUCGUCGUUGUCGCGUCGAUCCCGCGGCCACCGGCAUCCCCGUCACCCGAGAGCAUGCCCUGGAGCUUCAGCACCUCCACCUCCACCGACUACGUGCAUCGGUUCGAGCUCGGACGCACCGGAAGCUCGCCAUCGCCCGUCUUCUUCGCCACGGCCACCGAUGUUCGUCGUCAGAUGCGCCGCCUCCCGAGCGCCCCCGACCUCCUGACCACGUCCACGAGCUCCGUGAUGAGCACCUCCACCGAUUCCCCCCUUUUUCCUGUCGAAUCCGUCGCCGUAGAACCUGUACGCCGCCGCGCCGGAGCUCGCGCUCACAGCGUCCUGGCCGUCCCAGGGGCACUCCCUGGCCGCGUCCCGCGUCCACUCACCGCGGCCGUUCGCGCGGCCGCCACCGCCCUUUUGCUCCUGCUGUUGUUCUUGCUGAUGCCGCUGCUUGCAAGCUGCUGCUCCUGUGAUAGCUGCUGCUGCACCGCGCCUGCGGCUCCCCGGCCGCGCACAGCCACGCUGGACCACACCCUCCUGCAGGCCAUGGCGUCGCCCGCUGCCGCUCGCACCCCGGCGUGCCCCGUACUGCUACGACUGCUGCUCUGUUGUUGCUAUUGCGCUGUGGCUUGGUUCUCUACUGCUGCUCUGUGCCCUCUGCUCCCGUAG